GAUGACUCACUGGACUCUCCAUGUUAACUUUUGCAUUUUAUCUAAGAUCAGGCAUCCAUAAGCAUGCCUGACUGAAUCAAUAUAACAUGUAAAGUUUAUGUUGUUAAAAUAAAAUGCAUGACAGCUAAAGGAUAAUUAGCUUCCCACCUUUUCAACAGUUUAGUGUCAGUUUGACAAAAUCAUGCUGCUUUACAAAUUAAAGUUCUAUCUCCAGAUACUUAUAUAAUUUUCUCUUGUACGUCAAUAAUUAUUGUUACGUAACUGAUGGAAUUUUAAUUAAUGAAGGGUAAAUGCUUCAUGCCAUCAGUAUAAAAUGAAGUGUUAGGACUCUGGGAUCAGUAUAUAAUUGCUCAUGAAAUCCCUUGGUUGAAGGAUUGCUCUGGGAUCAUAUCCUCCAGGCACUGUUUACACAUUGUACAUUUUAAAUGUAUUUUAAUAUUCAAAUUAAAGAAAAUGGAGAUGGCUGGAUAACUCUCCAGUAUUCCCUACUGUUUGGGUCAGAUCUUCAGCUAUGCUCCGACACUUCAUACAAUCUAAAAAGGGCCAGGGCAGCAUAAGUCACUCUAUAAGCCUCUUGUCCAGCUGGGGAAGGAUUGUCUGGAUGAAGGCAUUGUGGAAGGCAGCCAUAAGGCUGUUGUCCAAGGACCCCCUCACAAACCUGGACACAGGCCACAUUGUGGACAAGAGGAGUAUGUCAAGGAUGGGGCUACAGCACAUCAUGCUGUGGAGAUUCUGGAGCCUGGUGCAGUCUGCAGGCCAGCUGAAGGAGGCUCCUGAAUUUAGACAGCCCCCCGAUGGCUGUCUGAGUUAUGCCGGGGGCUUCUCUAGCCCCUGAAACAGCCCCAAAAUCAGGAGGGUGCAAAGGUAGCUUAAAACCACUAUAGCUCUUUGAACCAUAGCACAGAAUCUCACCCAGUGACUAUAAGGCCAGUGGGGGACUUACUAUAGCAAAGAUGUAAGAGAAAAUAUAGUUUUCAGUAGGUAUGAAUGGCCCUUAUGAGGAAUAUUAAUUUACAGAUCAUACUGUUUGAGGGCUCACAGGAUUGAUCUAAAAAAAUAAAAGUGCACUUAAUACGUAUGUUACUGAAACAAGACUUUACUGAGAUACUCCAUUAAGCUCCAAUUCUUCUGCUCUGAUUAUUUAGGAGACUUGCAAAAUCAACAUUGCUGCUUAUUCCAUUAUUUGGAGUUCACUACAUGGUGUUUGCUGUAUUUCCUAUACGCAUUUCCAGUCACUAUCAGAUAAUUUUUGAGUUAUGUUUGGGAUCUUUUCAGGGGCUGGUUGUUGCAGUCCUGUACUGCUUUUUGAACAGUGAAGUACAAGGUGAGCUGAAAAGGAAAUGGCGGAGUUUGUGUUUGAGCCAGACAGUGGGCCGCGACUACAGACUCCAUAGCUGUUCUAUUUCUCGAAAUGGCUCAGAAAGUGUCUCCCAGCUCCAUCGGAAUUCAGGGGCACAGUCUUUUAUGCAGACAGAGACCACAGUGAUAUAAACCAUGUAGCUCAACCUAAAGACUAUGGGACAUAUCACUGUAUGGAGCUCAAUGUAAUAUUUUCUAAAAUGCACCAUUUAUGCUUUGCUUUUCUACAUAUUGACGUCUGGAGAAUGGCCUGGUGCAGUAAAUCAUGUAACAGAUGGGCAGGCGGCUUUGCAGACAUUUUGGCCUCGAUCCCCAAAGGUAUUUAGCUGCCUAACCCCCAUUGAUUUGAAAGCAGUAGGAGUUAGGCACCUAAAUACCUUUGGAGAUCUGAGCCUUUGUGCUUUUAUUUAUUCCUAUUCACAUUACAUUCUGAUGUUCUCCUGUCAUUUGUACCAGUGGUAACUAUCUAAAUAUAAUUUAUUUUAAUGCUCCAUUUCUAUUUAUCGGUCUCUAAUAUGUAAUGUAUGCUGAACCCCACCCAGUGUAUGUUGCUUUGGUCCAUGUUUACAGGGGUAGGAUGGGAGUUGAGAGAGAAUAUCAUAUAUACCAUCUAUAUUUAAUAGACUGUUUCUUUCACACAGACGCUAGACCCUACUAUAGCAAACAAAAUUGAAAUAGAGAUAUUUAGGGCCAUAUGUAUGUUCUUGAUCCCCAUAUGGAAAUCCAGUUGAUGACAGUGGGAAUUUAGCAUACAGAUGAAGGGCAUUAUGAGUCCAUAAUUUGUACAGAAGAAAAUGUUAGUCCUUCUUAGCUCCUUACAUAAAUCCUAAUUCAAUUCAGAGCUACCUCACUGCAAUAUUUGAUCCUAAGGGCUUGAUCCUGCUUUUCUGCACGAGUGCCCAUUUCUACAUAUCUUAAUGCAGAAUGUGAGGCUAGCCCUGCAGUCCUUACAGAAAAGUCCAUUGCACAGUAGUAGUCAUUAAACAGUCAGCAUUUGCCAAUAGCGGUAUCUGAGUUUACUAGAGUUUUCCCCAUACUAAAAAUCAAAGAUAUCUGUGGUAACUGUGUGGUAACAUUUGGAAAAUGUUAAUGUUUUUAAUGACUUCUACUCCAUCUGAUUUUUUUCUACCUACCUGACAGUACAUUUAUGUAUUUCAGAAAGGUGGGACUGAACUUUAAUACCCUAGCCAUCAAGUUCUAUGAGUUUUCAGAAAUGGUAUCCUUUUUGCUUUGGUUCAAAAGAAAAAAAUAUUUUGGUUACAUUUUUGAUAGAUAUCCAUCAUAUAAGAUAAACAGACAGAAAGGAACCCACACUGAUGUUAGAAAAGAGUUAGGAACACAUAGAAUACAAAACUAGGCGCCUCAAUCUCUUCUUAUCUAACUUUCUAAAGAGGUAUUUUCCUAAUAGAACAACCUAGUGAAAACUAAACAGGAAUGGACAUCCCACUCACCCACUGAAAAUAUGUUUUUAUACAUAAUGAUUUUAUUAAAAUAUAUCUUUAGAACUUCACAUUUGGCAGCUAAAAUUAAGGUAUCAAAUUAUAAAUACUACUGGAGUUUAAUGAACUAUGUAAAUAUUUUCAACAAAAUGCCGUUUUAUAUCUGUGAGGUGAUUGAAAAUGCAAUCCUGACCAGCAAGGCCAGAGGAAAAAAAAAGACAAUCCCUUUCAAAUGACCAUAAAAGGCAUAAAUUGAAAGGAUUUUUUUGGUAACCUCAAGCCCCUUAUGUAGCCCAGUGAAAUAAAAGACACAGCACUGACAAGUGCUUAUAAAUACACACUGGAGUCUUACAAGACAUAAGCAGUGUUCUGUUUACCUCUCAUGUCACAACUGACCACAUCCUCUCUAAAUAACACGUGUGAAUACUGUGCAUUUGCAUGAGUACUUUUGCCUCAUAAACUGAAGUGUUACCACAAUAUUUCAAACAGCAAAUUGUACAUUACAUGACAGUUGCCAUGAUUUAAAUAAUAAUCACUUAAUUCAUAUCUUCUAAUUAGUAUUACCAAUAAACACCCUGUAUUGUAAUUCAUUUUAAGUAACAAUAAGUAAUAGAUUGUUUUGUGUAACAAUCUAUUUAUUGCCAUAUUCACAAACAAUAGCCAUGGUUCAAAAGGUAAAUAGUUACUGUUGCGCAACUGAGGCCUUUUCUGUUCUACAAAAAUAAUCUGACAAUCAAGGGACUUUCAUACCAGCCUUUUAUACCUUAAACCACUCAGAAUAUUUUGUAGAGACAGUCACUUGUCAAGUUAACUUAAAAAGUUAAAAAGAUUUGACUGUUCAGUGAUACUUGUGUGUUAACAUUGGUCAAAAUAUUCAGAUAUUUGGAACAAACUGAUAAACUAAACAGUAAUAAGUCACCAGGACCAGUUGGUAUUCACGCAAGAGUUCUGAAGGAACUCAAAUGUGAAAUUGUAGGACUACUAACUGUAGUCUGUAACCUAUCAUUUAAAUCAGCUUCUGUACCAAAUGACUGGAGGAUAGCUAAUGUGAUGACAGUUUUUAAAAAGGCACCAGAGGUGACCCUGGCAAUUACAGGCCAGUAAGCCUGACUUCAGUACCGAGCAAAGUGGUUGAAACUAUAAUAAAGAACAGAAUUUUCAGACACAUAGAUGAACAUAAUUUGUUGGGGAAUAGUCAACAUGGUUUUCGUAAAGGGAAAUCAUGCCUCACCAAUCUACUAGAAUUCGUUGAGGGGGUCAACAAGCAUGUGGGAAAGGGGGAUCCAGUGGAAAUAGUGUAUUUAGAUUUUCAGAAAGCCUUUGACAAGGUCGCUCACCAAGGGCUCUUAAGCAAAGUAAGCACUCAUGGGAUAAGAGGGAAGGUCCUCUCAUGGAUUGGUAACUGGUUAAAAGAUAGGAAAGAAAGGGUAGGAAUAAAUGGUCAGUUUUCAGAAUGGAGAGAGGUAAAUAGUGGUGUCUCCCAAGGGUGUGUAGUGGGACCAAUCCUAUUCAAUAUAUUCAUAAAUGAUCUGGAAAAAGGGUAAACAGUGAGGUGGCAAAAUUUGCUGAUGAUACAAAAACUACUCAAGAUCGUUAAGUCCCAGGCAGACUGCAAAGAGCUACAAAGAGAUCUCUCAAAACUGGGUGACUGGGCAACAAAAUGGCAGAUGAAAUUCAAUGUUGAUAAAUUCAAGGUAAUGCACAUUGGAAAGCAUAAUCCCAGCUAUACAUAUAAAAUGAUGGGGUCUAAAUUAGCUGUUACUACUCAAGAAAGAGAUCUUGGAAUCAUUAGCAGAACCUGAAACCUGAUGAUUUUGCGUGGUUUUGAGUUUCAUUACAUCUCGUACACUGGGACAGGUUGUGGCUGAUCCUGUGUCUAAGGCAUGGGGAGAUGGCCAGAUUGUGUUUCUCUUACUUGUUCUGAAUUACACUGAGCACCACAAAUAGCCCCUCUGACAUCAGUGCAUUUGUCAUCUCCAUCUGGACAGAGUGGAGAUUUGGGAGUGGGGCACAGAUAACUGUUUGUGGCUCCCUGAUCUGGAGCUACCCUAUGUUAGCACAAGUUGGAGCUGCUCUGAAACAGCUCAAACGUAUGCCACUGCUAUAAAGCUCCACAAAGACCUUACUCCAGUAGCGGAUAAGGAGUAUGCCUGCUCAACCCUAUAGCACCCCUUCUCCCCACCCCAGAGCACUCUAGGCAUGCCCUCUCCCUCCUCUGACACGGGGGAUGGAAAGGCAUUUGGCACAAACAUGAGGUACAAAGUGGCCUUAGCAGACCAGAGAAAGGCUCUUCUCAGUGUGAGAGUACCACAAUCUGGCCCUUCACAACUGUUGGGGGUGAGAGAGGGAAGAGAUGUGUAAACUGCCAUCCCCAAAGCUCAUCUUCCCACCUCAUCCAAAUUACACCUAAUGUGUAAAUGACAAAAGCCAAAAUUCUCCUUCUCCACUUUACGUGCAAAAUUUUUCACACAUCCCUAAUGACAAUCAAACAUUAAACUCUUCUGGCAACAUCAAGUACAACUGACAAGUACUCUGCAGAAAGAAUUACUCUGUAUUUAUAGGUUGUCAUUCUAUAGUCUUAGACUACAACCCUGUAUCUGCAGUGAUACAGCAAGCUGUGUCAUUUACCAACAAAAGCCUACUUUUAAAUUACCAACUGUGCCUAUAUACACCUUGAUAAUCUCUGAGCAGUGAAUACUGCACUGCCAUUACCAAACUGCAUGAUUUACUACACUGUAGUAUUUUUGUGAUUUAAAUAAAACAUCAAGAUAAACACUUUUUCUGACAAGUAUGUUAUGAGGACUACAUCACCAUAACAUUAACCACAGAGAAUUCCAGAAUCUGCUUUAAUAAUCCAGUAUAAAAAUGUAUUUUGCCAUUGAUACAUCUUGUAAUAAAGUGUAAUUAAACACAAUCCAGGUACAUCUACUUUGUAAACUAAUUUAUACUGGGCUGCUAUUUAUAAAACUGCUUUAUUUCCAUAUGUACUGUAAUAAGAUUAUUUACAUCCUGCAACUUUUUCCUAGUGCAUUCGCAUAAGAAACUGUUUAACACAUUCUCUUUGGUCCUCUGUAUUGAUAAUGGUUUUUAUGUGUCAAGUACAGUAAACUUUAAACCUGAUGUAAAUGAAUGGUAUUUUUUACAAAAUAUACAGAUUAUGAUGAUGUAUAGAUAAAUGUGUGUAAAUAGAUUUGCUUUUCAUAUUUGUAA
Dermochelys coriacea (leatherback sea turtle) is the source of this 6008-nucleotide long non-coding RNA. RefSeq lists it as uncharacterized. The transcript has 3 exons. Lineage: Eukaryota; Metazoa; Chordata; Testudines; Dermochelyidae. The record is from RefSeq and is a predicted model, not a curated record.